GGUACUCGAGCCAGGCCCUAGUGGAGUCUACCAAACAAAGAGGGAGGUACUGGAUGAUGAAGUAUUCAUCUUCGGCCCCUCCCACCCGAUAGGCUAGUCGGUAAUCCUCGAGCCAUACCCGGGGAUUAGUAUCCCCGACGUAUUUGGCGACGUGCGUCGGUGGACGGAAGCGUAGGAGGAAAGGCGCAUUGCGGAUUCUCCGCCCGAAGGCUGGGGGCCCGGGCCCAUUGGGGCUGGGG
Molecule: long non-coding RNA, 239 nt
Filed under: Setaria viridis
Lineage: Eukaryota; Viridiplantae; Streptophyta; Magnoliopsida; Poales; Poaceae
Description: long non-coding RNA (SVIR_LNC000891)
Source: RNAcentral